Molecule: ribosomal RNA, 444 nt
Filed under: uncultured Sphingomonadaceae bacterium
Lineage: Bacteria; Pseudomonadati; Pseudomonadota; Alphaproteobacteria; Sphingomonadales; Sphingomonadaceae
Description: bacterial SSU rRNA
Rfam family: Bacterial small subunit ribosomal RNA
Source: RNAcentral
GGUCCUACGGGUGGCUGCAGUGGGGAAUAUUGGACAAUGGGCGAAAGCCUGAUCCAGCAAUGCCGCGUGAGUGAUGAAGGCCCUAGGGUUGUAAAGCUCUUUUACCCGGGAUGAUAAUGACAGUACCGGGAGAAUAAGCCCCGGCUAACUCCGUGCCAGCAGCCGCGGUAAUACGGAGGGGGCUAGCGUUGUUCGGAAUUACUGGGCGUAAAGCGCACGUAGGCGGCUUUGUAAGUUAGAGGUGAAAGCCCGGGGCUCAACCCCGGAAUAGCCUUUAAGACUGCAUCGCUUGAAUCCGGGAGAGGUGAGUGGAAUUCCGAGUGUAGAGGUGAAAUUCGUAGAUAUUCGGAAGAACACCAGUGGCGAAGGCGGCUCACUGGACCGGUAUUGACGCUGAGGUGCGAAAGCGUGGGGAGCAAACAGGAUUAGAUACCCGAGUAGUCC